Molecule: transfer RNA, 76 nt
Filed under: Rhipicephalus microplus (southern cattle tick)
Lineage: Eukaryota; Metazoa; Arthropoda; Arachnida; Ixodida; Ixodidae
Description: tRNA-Ser
Rfam family: tRNA
About the family: Transfer RNA (tRNA) molecules are approximately 80 nucleotides in length. Their secondary structure includes four short double-helical elements and three loops (D, anti-codon, and T loops).
Source: Rfam by way of RNAcentral
GGCGAGGUGGCCAAGUGGUUAAGGCGACGGACUGCUAAUCCAUUUGCUGGUAUGGGUUCGAGUCCCACCCUCGUCA